CAUGGCUUUGGUCCUGGGCCUACCAUUACUUAUUGUUAUGCUUAUACAUGCAAGUCUCCACGAACUAGUGAGUGCGCCCUCCCCCUCCAAAAAAGAUGACCGGCGCGGACAUCAGGCGCGUCUCCGACAGCCCACAACGUCUCGCCACGCCACACCCCCACGGGUAUUCAGCAGUAAUAAACAUUGAGCUAUAAAUGUAAUUUUGACUCAGCAAUAACAAACAAAGUUGGUUAAUUUCGUGCCAGCCACCGCGGUUAAACGAAAGACUACAAUUAAUGGCACCACGGCGUAAAGCGUGAUAAGAUAAUACUAUUCGACCUCACGGAAAGGCAAUACCAGUCUAGCAGUAGAAUGCCCAGACCCGAAAAAUACCACUCUUUCCAUGUCCUAUAUUGCACCACGAAAGCUUAGACACAAACUAGGAUUAGAUACCCUACUAUGCUAAGCCGUUAACCAGACAGUACAUCAAAACAAACUGUCCGCCAGAGAACUACGAGCAAAAAGCUUAAAACUCAAAGGACUUGGCGGUGUCCCAUAACAACCUAGAGGAGCCUGUCCUAUAACCCGAUACCACACGUUCUACCCAACCGCCUGUUGCAUUCCAGCCUAUAUACCGCCGUCGCCAGUCUACCUUAUGAAAGCCAAUCCGUAGACAAAAAAGUUUUAUCACUAACACGUCAGGUCGAGGUGUAGCUAAUCGGGCGGCAGUGAUGGGCUACAUUUUCCUAAUAUGACCACACGAACAGCAAACAUGAAAUACCUGCUAGAAGGCGGAUUUAGUAGUAAAAUAAAUAAGCUAGUUUACUUUAAACCCUGCUCUGGGACGCGCACACACCGCCCGUCACCCUCUUCAAGUCCCACAUUAACCAUCUAUAAUAAACUACACGGACAAAAAGAAGAGAUAAGUCGUAACAUGGUAAGCGUACUGGAAAGUGCGCUUGGCUA
This 945-nucleotide non-coding RNA is filed under the name Amphisbaena schmidti. Its description in RNAcentral is "small subunit ribosomal RNA". It matches the Rfam family "Bacterial small subunit ribosomal RNA". The record is from RNAcentral. Lineage: Eukaryota; Metazoa; Chordata; Lepidosauria; Squamata; Amphisbaenidae.